This 905-nucleotide long non-coding RNA is filed under the name Fukomys damarensis (Damara mole-rat). RNAcentral describes it as "lncRNA (ENSFDAG00000028927.1)". The record is from RNAcentral. Lineage: Eukaryota; Metazoa; Chordata; Mammalia; Rodentia; Bathyergidae.
GUUACAACUGCCAACAUUACCUGCUUCACUGGGCCCUGCCUCUCAACUCCUGUUGGAGUCUGAGCUAUAGGCAGUGCCUCAGCUCUGGUCCUUGAUAUUUACUUGAAGGUUAAGAACUCUUGAGGGCUGCAGGUGUCGAUUAACUUUAUCUCAGUGCUAAGUUCAUAAGGAUAGUUGUUGUCAUCAUUGCUUAGUCCUCAGCCGACCUAUUUGAUUUUGUUUGAUUUUAACCUGUCGUGUGUUUGGGGUCACCUGCACAGUCUCUGGCUCUAUCUCUUUCACGACACGUGUCAUCAUGGGAGUACCUGUCGUCCCUUCUUGUCAUCCACAGACUGGAUUGGGUAGUUCAGAAACUGAACAGGAACUACAACAGCAGCUGGAGGAGAGUAAGGAGAAGUUUUAUGAACUCCAAGGACGUUUCCUUGUGUCUGAAGCUACUGUCUAUGCCAUGGCUAACGAGCUUCAAAAACACAAUUGUCGGAAGUUCAAAGACAUCGUUGAGUCUGUUCUGGGUGAGAAGCUGCUGUACAGGGAAACAAGGCUGACACAGAAGCUCAGGCUGGCCCAGAAUUUGAGGGAAUGCAGUUUCCAAUUUCAAGAGCAAGACCAGAAGCUGGCCCUGUUUCAGCAGAAAUUACAACAGGGGAGAGAUGCCGCGUUUCUACUGUGUCAGCAUCUCAAGGACCUCUUCACCUGGGAUCACCUUCAUAGCAGCCAGGGUCACGGCUUCCGUGAGCUACUGAUUGAAGCUGAAGGCUGGCAGAGGACCUUGUAUAAAUGCUUAGCUCAGGUAAGGCAUGCACAGGCCUUGAUUACCCAGAGGAACUCCAAGGUCCCCAGCUCACAGGAUCUUUGUAGUGUGCCCCCACCUUUUUGAAAUUUUUUUUUUGUUAACCAGGUCUUCU